CCUACGGGAGGCAGCAGUGGGGAAUACUGCACAAUGGGCGCAAGCCUGAUGCAGCGACGCCGCGUGAGGGAUGACGGCCUUCGGGUUGUAAACCUCUUUCAGUAGGGAAGAAGCGAAAGUGACGGUACCUGCAGAAGAAGCGCCGGCUAACUACGUGCCAGCAGCCGCGGUAAU
RNAcentral lists this ribosomal RNA (174 nucleotides) under uncultured Arthrobacter sp. RNAcentral describes it as "partial 16S ribosomal RNA". It matches the Rfam family "Bacterial small subunit ribosomal RNA", at positions 338 to 524 of the family's 1533-position model. Lineage: Bacteria; Bacillati; Actinomycetota; Actinomycetes; Micrococcales; Micrococcaceae. The record is from RNAcentral.